AGGAUGAACGCUGGCGGCGUGCCUAAUACAUGCAAGUCGAGCGAACAGAUAAGGAGCUUGCUCCUUUGAGGUUAGCGGCGGACGGGUGAGUAACACGUGGGUAACCUACCUAUAAGACUGGGAUAACUUCGGGAAACCGGAGCUAAUACCGGAUAACAUUUAGAACCGCAUGGUUCUAAAGUGAAAGAUGGUUUUGCUAUCACUUAUAGAUGGACCCGCGCCGUAUUAGCUAGUUGGUAAGGUAACGGCUUACCAAGGCGACGAUACGUAGCCGACCUGAGAGGGUGAUCGGCCACACUGGAACUGAGACACGGUCCAGACUCCUACGGGAGGCAGCAGUAGGGAAUCUUCCGCAAUGGGCGAAAGCCUGACGGAGCAACGCCGCGUGAGUGAUGAAGGGUUUCGGCUCGUAAAACUCUGUUAUUAGGGAAGAACAAAUGUGUAAGUAACUGUGCACAUCUUGACGGUACCUAAUCAGAAAGCCACGGCUAACUACGUGCCAGCAGCCGCGGUAAUACGUA
Molecule: ribosomal RNA, 521 nt
Filed under: uncultured bacterium
Lineage: Bacteria
Description: bacterial SSU rRNA
Rfam family: Bacterial small subunit ribosomal RNA
Source: RNAcentral